AUUGAACGCUGGCGGCAGGCCUAACACAUGCAAGUCGAGCGGAUGAAGGGAGCUUGCUCCUGGAUUCAGCGGCGGACGGGUGAGUAAUGCAUAUGAAUCUGCCUGGUAGUGGGGGAUAACGUCCGGAAACGGGCGCUAAUACUGCAUACGUCCUGAGGGAGCAAGUGGGUGAUCGUCGGAACUCUCGCUAUCAUAUGAGCCUAGGUCGGAUUAGCUAGUUGGUUGGGUAAAGGCCUACCAAGGCGACGAUCCGUAACUGGCCGGAGAGGAUGAUCAGUCACACGGGAGCGGGGACACGGACCAUGCUCCUACGGGAGGCAGCAGUGGGGAAUAUUGGACAGUGGGGGGAAGCCUUGUCCAGCGGUGCGGCGUGUGUGGAGAAGGUGUUCGGAUUGGAAAGCAGUUUAAGUUGGGAGGAAGGGCAGUAAGUUAAUACCUUGCUGUAUUGACGUUACCAACAGAAGAAGCACCGGCUAACUUCGUG
RNAcentral lists this ribosomal RNA (484 nucleotides) under uncultured bacterium. RNAcentral's name for it is "partial 16S ribosomal RNA". It matches the Rfam family "Bacterial small subunit ribosomal RNA", at positions 30 to 507 of the family's 1533-position model. The record is from RNAcentral.